GACAGAGGGUGCAAGCGUUGUUCGGAAUUACUGGGCGUAAAGGGCGCGUAGGCGGUAGUGUAAGUCGGAUGUGAAAUCCCUGGUUUCAAGCCAGGAACUGCAUCCGAAACUGCAUCACUUGAAUCUCGGAGAGGGAAGCGGAAUUCCAGGUGUAGAGGUGAAAUUCGUAGAUAUCUGGAGGAACACCCGUGGCGAAGGCGGCUUCCUGGACGAAGAUUGACGCUGAGGCGCGAAAGCGUGGGGAGCAAACAGG
This 253-nucleotide ribosomal RNA is filed under the name uncultured bacterium. RNAcentral describes it as "partial 16S ribosomal RNA". It matches the Rfam family "Bacterial small subunit ribosomal RNA", at positions 524 to 776 of the family's 1533-position model. The record is from RNAcentral.